Molecule: long non-coding RNA, 1061 nt
Organism: Scylla paramamosain (green mud crab)
Lineage: Eukaryota; Metazoa; Arthropoda; Malacostraca; Decapoda; Portunidae
Exons: 3
Source: RefSeq, a predicted model, not a curated record
UUUCUUCUAUGUAGUUACGAGAGAUUAUAUAUGUAAACACUCAUCUAACCAUCAUAAACAAGUAACUGGGCUGAGUAAUUUCUCUGCUCUUUUCUUCUACAUAUAAAAUAACGACAGAUUGGACUAGAUACUCCAACAACUCGUAACAAGCGAAGAACUAGGCACGGUAGUUGAAGAGGGUGGUAGUGAGGAGCUAGGAAGAGCGGGAAGGAAAGCAAGGUAAUUGGGUAAGAAUAGUUAGGGAUGGUGUGAAGGGUGGCUGUUACCGGCUGGCUGUUUUCUUCGUUUUAGGCUUCCGCGGUGUGCCUUAGUUCUUCCCCGGACGCCAAGCAGGAAGGUGGCUGGUGAGGAGGGCACUGGGAACUUCACGGCGCCCUGGUGUAAUCGCCCCGCAGUCACGGACCCUUGAGGCAACGCAAAGAUUGCUGCUAUUUAAAGGACACCUAAAUCUAGAGAAGUAUCCCGAGUGUUGGUAGAGGAACAGUCUUCCACAAUAAAGUGACGCAUUAGUCCUGGGACAAUCCUUGGACCUGUUCUGGUGAAUCUUAACCAGAAGCGGACACCAUUCAAGAGAACUUCAACGGAGCGUUGGAAGACCCAAGACCCUCCAGUGCACCAGUGGUAGUGGUGGUGGUGCCCAGUGUACUCACUUGCAACAUAAUUUCUCUCACUGUCAGACUUGUUGGCUGGUUGUGAUGCUGGUAAAUAAGCAAUUUGAGUUCCCAAAGAGUUCAGAAGACUCUGCCACUUAGUUUUAUUUUUUAUUUUAUUUAUUUAUUUUUUAUUUUUUUUUGUUUUAUUCUUGGAAGUGGUGUGCAUCAUCUCCGGACAGUCGUUUAAGUAACAUUUAGGAAUGCUUAAAGGAGCGUGAAGGUUGUCACCCAAGUUUUUUUAUUGCUUCUGUUCCUUUUUUUUUUGUCCAUUUGUUCAUUUAAGUGCAUAUGCAGCUACGAAAAAGCUGAAAAAUUGGGUAAUUACAAAAAUACUGGGAAACUGCGUAACUGAAUUUAGAAUUUAAGUGUGCACUGAUGCAAGCUACCAAUAUUACACUUGUUUUUUAA